GUGGGGAAUUUUGGACAAUGGGCGAAAGCCUGAUCCAGCAAUGCCGCGUGCAGGAUGAAGGCCCUCGGGUUGUAAACUGCUUUUGUACGAAACGAAAAGCCUGGGGCUAAUAUCCCCGGGUCAUGACGGUACCGUAAGAAUAAGCACCGGCUAACUACGUGCCAGCAGCCGCGGUAAUACGUAGGGUGCAAGCGUUAAUCGGAAUUACUGGGCGUAAAGCGUGCGCAGGCGGUUUUGUAAGACAGUGGUGAAAUCCCCGGGCUCAACCUGGGAACUGCCAUUGUGACUGCAAGGCUAGAGUGCGGCAGAGGGGGAUGGAAUUCCGCGUGUAGCAGUGAAAUGCGUAGAUAUGCGGAGGAACACCGAUGGCGAAGGCAAUCCCCUGGGCCUGCACUGACGCUCAUGCACGAAAGCGUGGGGAGCAAACAGGAUUAGAUACCCGAGUAGUCC
This 450-nucleotide ribosomal RNA is filed under the name uncultured bacterium. RNAcentral's name for it is "partial 16S ribosomal RNA". It matches the Rfam family "Bacterial small subunit ribosomal RNA", at positions 354 to 796 of the family's 1533-position model. The record is from RNAcentral.